CUGUGUACUCUGGGGGAGCAUGUAGUGCUGAAAGCAGGAGGAGGGCUAGAACUCUGUUCUACUAAAGGUUUGAAGAAUAUCUACCACCCACAGCUCCCUCUGCUGGCCAGAACAACCAUGCACUUGGGUCACUAUUUGGCAGCGCAGGCUAUGAUGAGGUCUUCCGAGGAGGAUGAAGACCCCUCAAAGCCCUGGCUCGCAGCUCAGGAAGUGCUGCAGUCUGCACUCAUCAUUUCCCAGGCCUCUGCCUGCAGGGACCACCAGCUGGAGGCUGAUAUCCUAUGUUGCAAAGGUGAGCAGUGUUGGAACAGAGCGAAUGAGGUGAGGAGUAGGCCUUCUCUUUGCAUUGUAGCUGGUGAAAGUUUAUGCUUGUUUUACCUGUAUUCCUGCAGGAAUGGUGGAAAGAAACCUGAUGUCACUGAGUGCAUUCCAGCACCAGGCAGUGGUAGAGACCUUCCUGGAGAGCAUCACUAUCACCCUUUCUCACAACCACAAUCUGCAGUUAAUUCACAGGUGUUACAUGGAGAUGGCUCUAAUAUAUCUGCAACAAUGGCAGAAGGAUGCUGCUCUUGCCAAACCUGCUCCCCCUCCAGCACCUACUAAAUCAGACAACAAGGUAAUGACGGAGAAGCUCAUAAUGAUGCAGGAGCCCAACAGUGACAUGACCAUUUAUGUACAUGUGUUUGUUUAAUUUCUAUAGCCCCAAGCUGGAAAACGUGCCAUGUCUACCCUUAAUAAAAACUUGACUGUGAGUGAGAGUCACAUACUUCUCUUUUGGGUUUGUUUGAGAGCUGCCACAAAGAUAAUGGAGGCUAUUACCAGUUGUAGCCAAUUGUGUGGCUUCACUGGUUCCAUAGGAGACCAGCUUCCUCUUACAUCACUCGAAGCUCUCCCUGAGUUUGCUGCCAAUGAUCUACUUCAUCCUUGUGGGGGUAUGGAGGAUCCCCUCCGAUGUCGGCCCGAUUCAGGUCCAGACAUGGAUAGUGAACUGAGCAGCAGAAAGGAUCUCACCUGGGUGCAUUUGUCACGCUACUACACACACCUGCUCAACCUGAGACACAUCUCCACUCGAACAGUGGCAGAAAAGUGUGUGGAGGGGUUGAUAUCUGCAGCUGGUGACCCCAGUCUAUGUCUCAAACUUGCUCAGCUACACAAUUUCUUCAGCUGUCACCUGGAAGCUUACAGAGAACUGUGUGUUGUAGCUGACCCUCCAGCUGCCCUCAUUCUAGAGCCUCAUGUUAUGCAGUUGCCCAACACUGUGAAGAUGUCUGUUUGUCAGCCCAAGCAGCCAGUGUCAGACUUGUAUCCCUGGGCUACAGUGGACUCGCAGCAGUUAUGCAUCCAGUGGUAUCGGCCCACACUGCAACUCAGUGGACUGACACACAACACAACUGUGCUUAUUUUUGCACUGAAUAAAGCUCCGCUCUCUGCCAUGCAUCCCAACAGAGUGGCCGUCGCUGAGUUAGAGGCUGGACAGCGGCUCAUCUCUACAGACAGGCUGAAAGCUCUUCAUGAACAGCUGAUCUCAGUGUGUGUGGAUGCCAAAUUCGAUUCGACUCCAUCCGCUUCACCUGCUCCCAGCUCGACUCCCUCCAUCAGCUCCAAGCAAGAGAGUCAGCGCAGCAGCAAAAGCUCUAAUAAACUUGACACAUCCAGCUAUCAGCAACAGGUUUGUUACUGAGAACUAUACCUCAUGUAAACCAGACCUAGGGUUGUUUACGAGCACAUUCAUUUAC
Molecule: long non-coding RNA, 1736 nt
Organism: Pygocentrus nattereri (red-bellied piranha)
Lineage: Eukaryota; Metazoa; Chordata; Actinopteri; Characiformes; Serrasalmidae
Source: Ensembl